This 464-nucleotide ribosomal RNA is filed under the name uncultured bacterium. RNAcentral describes it as "partial 16S ribosomal RNA". It matches the Rfam family "Bacterial small subunit ribosomal RNA", at positions 338 to 795 of the family's 1533-position model. The record is from RNAcentral.
CCUACGGGUGGCAGCAGUAGGGAAUCUUCCACAAUGGGCGAAAGCCUGAUGGAGCAACGCCGCGUGGGUGAAGAAGGUCUUCGGAUCGUAAAACCCUGUUGUUAGAGAAGAAAGUGCGUGAGAGUAACUGUUCACGUUUCGACGGUAUCUAACCAGAAAGCCACGGCUAACUCCGUGCCAGCAGCCGCGGUAAUACGUAGGUGGCAAGCGUUAUCCGGAGUUAUUGGGUUUAAAGGGUGCGCAGGGGGAAGCUCAAGUCAGCGGUAAAAUUGCGAGGCUAAACCUCUUCGAGCCGUUUAAACUGGUUUUCUGGAGUGAGUGAGAAGGAUGCGGAAUGCGUGGUGUAGCGGUGAAAUGCAUAGAUAUGACGAAGAACCCCGAUUGCGAAGGCAGCCUACCGGCGCUCAACUGACGCUCAUGUACGAAAGUGUGGGUAUCGAACAGGAUUAGAUACCCUGGUAGUC